UAAGGGCGCACGGUGGAUGCCUUGGCACUAGAAGCCGAUGAAGGACGUUACUAACGACGAUAUGCUUUGGGGAGCUGUAAGUAAGCUUUGAUCCAGAGAUUUCCGAAUGGGGAAACCCAGCAUGAGUUAUGUCAUGUUAUCGAUAUGUGAAUACAUAGCAUAUCAGAAGGCACACCCGGAGAACUGAAACAUCUUAGUACCCGGAGGAAGAGAAAGAAAAUUCGAUUCCCUUAGUAGCGGCGAGCGAAACGGGAAGAGCCCAAACCAACAAGCUUGCUUGUUGGGGUUGUAGGACACUCUAUACGGAGUUACAAAGGACGACAUUAGACGAAUCAUCUGGAAAGAUGAAUCAAAGAAGGUAAUAAUCCUGUAGUCGAAAAUGUUGUCUCUCUUGAGUGGAUCCUGAGUACGACGGAGCACGUGAAAUUCCGUCGGAAUCUGGGAGGACCAUCUCCUAAGGCUAAAUACUCUCUAGUGACCGAUAGUGAACCAGUACCGUGAGGGAAAGGUGAAAAGCACCCCGGAAGGGGAGUGAAAUAGAACCUGAAACCGUGUGCUUACAAGUAGUCAGAGCCCGUUAAUGGGUGAUGGCGUGCCUUUUGUAGAAUGAACCGGCGAGUUACGAUUUGAUGCAAGGUUAAGCAGUAAAUGUGGAGCCGUAGCGAAAGCGAGUCUGAAUAGGGCGUUUAGUAUUUGGUCGUAGACCCGAAACCAGGUGAUCUACCCUUGGUCAGGUUGAAGUUCAGGUAACACUGAAUGGAGGACCGAACCGACUUACGUUGAAAAGUGAGCGGAUGAACUGAGGGUAGCGGAGAAAUUCCAAUCGAACCUGGAGAUAGCUGGUUCUCUCCGAAAUAGCUUUAGGGCUAGCCUCAAGUGAUGAUUAUUGGAGGUAGAGCACUGUUUGGACGAGGGGCCCCUCUCGGGUUACCGAAUUCAGACAAACUCCGAAUGCCAAUUAAUUUAACUUGGGAGUCAGAACAUGGGUGAUAAGGUCCGUGUUCGAAAGGGAAACAGCCCAGACCACCAGCUAAGGUCCCAAAAUAUAUGUUAAGUGGAAAAGGAUGUGGCGUUGCCCAGACAACUAGGAUGUUGGCUUAGAAGCAGCCAUCAUUUAAAGAGUGCGUAAUAGCUCACUAGUCGAGUGACACUGCGCCGAAAAUGUACCGGGGCUAAACAUAUUACCGAAGCUGUGGAUUGUCCUUUGGACAAUGGUAGGAGAGCGUUCUAAGGGCGUUGAAGCAUGAUCGUAAGGACAUGUGGAGCGCUUAGAAGUGAGAAUGCCGGUGUGAGUAGCGAAAGACGGGUGAGAAUCCCGUCCACCGAUUGACUAAGGUUUCCAGAGGAAGGCUCGUCCGCUCUGGGUUAGUCGGGUCCUAAGCUGAGGCCGACAGGCGUAGGCGAUGGAUAACAGGUUGAUAUUCCUGUACCACCUAUAAUCGUUUUAAUCGAUGGGGGGACGCAGUAGGAUAGGCGAAGCGUGCGAUUGGAUUGCACGUCUAAGCAGUAAGGCUGAGUAUUAGGCAAAUCCGG
Molecule: ribosomal RNA, 1533 nt
Filed under: Staphylococcus aureus
Lineage: Bacteria; Bacillati; Bacillota; Bacilli; Caryophanales; Staphylococcaceae
Description: partial 23S ribosomal RNA
Rfam family: Bacterial large subunit ribosomal RNA
Source: RNAcentral